CUUUAACCUUAAUUAGAAUAAUUAGAGAAGCAAAUAAAUCCAAAUUUCUGAUAGGUAAAUGCUCAAGGUAGUUAAAUCCCUGAGAAUUAGAAACUUACCAAGAGAAUGUAGACUUAAAAGAAUUUUCAAUUUCCUUAUUUAUCUACGGACAACAUGGACAACUUAUGUUGCCACUGACACAAUCAGUUCUCCCAAAAAUCGCAGCUAAUAGGGGAGGCACAAUCAAGCCUUUAUCGUCAGGACUAGACCCGGAGUCCUCCCCAAGUAUUUUGGUCUUCCUUCAAGAAUCCCUUAAGAGAUAAUCAACAUCAACUUAACGCUAAUGACUUUUUAUGGUAUUCAGAAGGUGGCACAUGUUUAAAGAUACUACGGUUUCUAUAGCAACCACAUUGGGUAGUAAUCGGCUUACAACUACGAAUUCUAUUAAAAGUAAGCUUCACACUUACUUCAAAACAUCAACAAUCGCAGGAAAUUUUGCUCAGUCGAAAAAUUCUUAAAUUUGCACUGCGAUUACAAACAGCUGAUUAAAACAAGGAUAUAAUAAUGAGAGCUGAAUGCCGAAGAAUUCAGUCGUCGAUAAUGUGAUCGGAAUAUUCAGAGAUUCAAAGAGCAAACCCUCGAAUAUUUUGGAAUUUUGAAGACAGUUGAGGGUUUGGUCAUAGGCAAAUAAGGAAGCACAACACCCGCCAUUCUCUCCUUGGCGGUCAGAAAUCAACAUGAUAAGGGUGGUGAUUUUACACUUCCCAUGUUUCAAAAGUAGAUAUUUGGG
This 769-nucleotide long non-coding RNA is filed under the name Olea europaea subsp. europaea. Lineage: Eukaryota; Viridiplantae; Streptophyta; Magnoliopsida; Lamiales; Oleaceae. The record is from RNAcentral.